AACGAACGCUGGCGGCAUGCCUAACACAUGCAAGUCGAACGAUGCCUUCGGGCAUAGUGGCGCACGGGUGCGUAACGCGUGGGAAUCUGCCCUUGGGUUCGGAAUAACUCAGAGAAAUUUGAGCUAAUACCGGAUGAUGACGUAAGUCCAAAGAUUUAUCGCCCAAGGAUGAGCCCGCGUAAGAUUAGCUAGUUGGUGGGGUAAAGGCCUACCAAGGCGACGAUCUUUAGCUGGUCUGAGAGGAUGAUCAGCCACACUGGGACUGAGACACGGCCCAGACUCCUACGGGAGGCAGCAGUGGGGAAUAUUGGACAAUGGGCGAAAGCCUGAUCCAGCAAUGCCGCGUGAGUGAUGAAGGCCUUAGGGUUGUAAAGCUCUGUCAGCUGGAACGAAAAAAAUGACGGUACCAGCAGAGGAAGCAUCGGCUAACUACGUG
RNAcentral lists this ribosomal RNA (436 nucleotides) under uncultured bacterium. Its description in RNAcentral is "bacterial SSU rRNA". It matches the Rfam family "Bacterial small subunit ribosomal RNA", at positions 29 to 507 of the family's 1533-position model. The record is from RNAcentral.